Stegodyphus mimosarum is the source of this 73-nucleotide non-coding RNA. The record is from Rfam. Lineage: Eukaryota; Metazoa; Arthropoda; Arachnida; Araneae; Eresidae.
GCCUUCGUGGUGUAGUGGUCAGCACGCUCGACGCGUAACCGAGAGGUCCGUGGUUCGAUUCCCUGCGAAGGCG